GUCCUAGCCGUAAACGUUGGGUGCUAGGUGUGGGAGGACAUCGACCCCUUCCGUGCCGAAGCUAACGCAUUAAGCACCCCGCCUGGGGAGUACGGCCGCAAGGCUAAAACUCAAAGGAAUUGACGGGGCCCGCACAAGCGGCGGAGCAUGCGGCUUAAUUCGAUGCAACGCGAAGAACCUUACCUGGGUUUGACAUGCAGGGUGAAACCGUUGAAAGACGGCGCUCUUCGGAGCCUGCACAGGUGGUGCAUGGCUGUCGU
RNAcentral lists this ribosomal RNA (260 nucleotides) under uncultured bacterium. Its description in RNAcentral is "partial 16S ribosomal RNA". It matches the Rfam family "Bacterial small subunit ribosomal RNA", at positions 793 to 1055 of the family's 1533-position model. The record is from RNAcentral.